RNAcentral lists this ribosomal RNA (301 nucleotides) under uncultured bacterium. RNAcentral's name for it is "partial 16S ribosomal RNA". It matches the Rfam family "Bacterial small subunit ribosomal RNA", at positions 509 to 807 of the family's 1533-position model. The record is from RNAcentral.
CAGUAGCCACGGUAAUACGUAGGUGGCAAGCGUUGUCCGGAAUUAUUGGGCGUAAAGGGCUCGCAGGCGGUUUCUUAAGUCUGAUGUGAAAGCCCACGGCUCAACCGGGGAGGGUCAUUGGAAACUGGGAAACUUGAGUGCAGAAGAGGAGAGUGGAAUUCCACGUGUAGCGGUGAAAUGCGUAGAGAUGUGGAGGAACACCAGUGGCGAAGGCGACUCUCUGGUCUGUAACUGACGCUGAGGAGCGAAAGCGUGGGGAGCGAACAGGAUUAGAUACCCCGGUAGUCCCUGUCUCUUAUAC